UGAGUCAGCCAAACAGUCGCUGUACUGUUCAGACAGUACAGAGGAAAGUCCGGGCUUCACAGAACGCAGCGCCAGAUAACGUCUGGGCAACGUGAGUUGACGGAAAGUGCCACAGAAAAUAGACCGCCAUUGCGCCUGAUUUAUCAGGUGUGGGUAAGGGUGAAAAGGUGCGGUAAGAGCGCACCGCGUCGUUAGUAAUAGCGGCGGCACGGCAAACCCCGCUGGAAGCAAAACCAAGUAAAGAUUCUAUGAUGUGGUUCGCAUCGAAUCUGGGUAGGUCGCUUGAGGCAAAUAGUGAUAUUUGUCCCAGAUAAAUGACUGUUAAGGAACGCGCGCUAACUCGCUUGGUGAAUUGGCGCCCAAGAGCAUGGUCAGAUUUUAAUGUUCUGACUGAGAAAAUGCGAAGGAAUACAUGAUUUGUAUUUCGAGCAUUUUCGAUGGAAGAACAUUACUAAAAAUGACCGUGAUAUUGGGCGCCAAUUCACCAAGCGAGUUAGCGCGCGUUCCUUUACAGAACCCGGCUUAUCGGCUGACUCAUACU
RNAcentral lists this RNase P RNA (541 nucleotides) under Gammaproteobacteria bacterium RIFCSPHIGHO2_12_FULL_39_24. Its description in RNAcentral is "RNase P RNA component class A". It matches the Rfam family "Bacterial RNase P class A". From Rfam's summary of the family: Ribonuclease P (RNase P) is a ubiquitous endoribonuclease, found in archaea, bacteria and eukarya as well as chloroplasts and mitochondria. Its best characterised activity is the generation of mature 5'-ends of tRNAs by cleaving the 5'-leader elements of precursor-tRNAs. The record is from RNAcentral. Lineage: Bacteria; Pseudomonadati; Pseudomonadota; Gammaproteobacteria.